CCUACGGGAGGCUGCAGUGAGGAAUAUUGGUCAAUGGGCGGGAGCCUGAACCAGCCAAGUCGCGUGAGGGACGACGGUCCUAUGGAUUGUAAACCUCUUUUGUCGGGGAACAAAGGCGUCCACGGGUGGGCGGAUGAGUGUACCCGAAGAAAAAGCAUCGGCUAACUCCGUGCCAGCAGCCGCGGUAAUACGGAGGAUGCGAGCGUUAUCCGGAUUUAUUGGGUUUAAAGGGUGCGUAGGCGGACAGUCAAGUCAGCGGUAAAAUUGCGGUGCUCAACGCCGUCCCGCCGUUGAUACUGGCAGACUAGAGUGAGCUAGAGGUAUGCGGAAUGCGAGGUGUAGCGGUGAAAUGCAUAGAUAUCACGAAGAACUCCGAUGGCGAAGGCAGCAUACCGGCGCCCUACUGACGCUGAGGCACGAAAGCGUGGGUAUCGAACAGGAUUAGAUACCCCAGUAGUC
This 459-nucleotide ribosomal RNA is filed under the name uncultured bacterium. RNAcentral describes it as "partial 16S ribosomal RNA". It matches the Rfam family "Bacterial small subunit ribosomal RNA", at positions 338 to 795 of the family's 1533-position model. The record is from RNAcentral.